This 22-nucleotide microRNA is filed under the name Sus scrofa (pig). RNAcentral's name for it is "ssc-mir278". The record is from RNAcentral. Lineage: Eukaryota; Metazoa; Chordata; Mammalia; Artiodactyla; Suidae.
GAGGCGUGGAUCCCGCAUUGCU